UAUUUCUCGUUCACAUCGAAUUUCAACAAGACAUUGUAGCAAUCAUUGCUUAUAAAAAAAUGGAGUCGUCCAUAGCAAAUGGAAGUCAACCCGAACCAAUACUAGUUCUCGGCAAUAAUACAGGCUUAAAAUCCAUCGUUCAUUAUAAAUCAAGGAAUUUGGUUGCCAACUGGAAAAGAUGGAAGGGAAUACCGUGUGAGCGAGCCACUUCCGCAUUCGACCGGAAACUGCAAUGAGUACAGCUGUGGAUCCGAGGGCCACGCUGAGUGUUCGCCAGAGGACUGCGUGCCCCUUCUCCCCAAGAUACCACUUGCAUCAGAUAUAUCGGACGCACCAGAAGACGAUUUCGAAAUUUUCAACCGUGCCAGGGAUCAAGAAAUCGACGAGAACUUCUAAAGAACGAUUAUCGGCUGUUUCAUGAAAUUUUCGAACGCGUGACUCGCGAGAGACUCGGCUUUCACGUAAUCGCGGUCUUCUACGUGUUUCGCCUUUACCUAUUAAGCUUUUCUUCCUUAUUCGGAAUUUGUUGAUCGAUAUGAAUUAUACGCGAAGAUUGAACAAUGUUAAUCAUUACGUUAACGUUAAAAUGAAUUAUUUAAAUUUGUGUGGUUUUUCUGAUUUUGAAAAUGACGAAUGAAGAGUUAGUAUUGUAUAUAUACGUGAAUCAUAGUUUAAUUUUCAUGAAAAUGGGUCAGGCAGUUCAUUUUUCUCGUGCGUCUUUCAAUCAUUCCAUAAACUAUUGUGUCUGUCUUGUAUCCGUGGGAUCCCGUGUCCGCUUAAAAAUGGUUGUAUGCUAAAUAAAAGAAAAUCCUACGGUA
Long non-coding RNA from Bombus pascuorum, 818 nucleotides. RefSeq lists it as uncharacterized. Lineage: Eukaryota; Metazoa; Arthropoda; Insecta; Hymenoptera; Apidae. The record is from RefSeq and is a predicted model, not a curated record. The transcript has 2 exons.